This 14459-nucleotide long non-coding RNA is filed under the name Ananas comosus (pineapple). RNAcentral's name for it is "long non-coding RNA (ACOM_LNC036081)". Lineage: Eukaryota; Viridiplantae; Streptophyta; Magnoliopsida; Poales; Bromeliaceae. The record is from RNAcentral.
CAUAUAAUUUUUGUUUGGAUACUAAAUUUGAUUAAAAUUUAGUCAUUUUAAUUAAAUUUUAAAUAAUUUAAUUUAAUUUUUAAAUUUAAUAAGUUAAUUUUUAAAAGUUAAAAAUUAAAAUUUAAUUUAAUUAAUAAUUUGUAAUUAAUUAAUUAAUUAAUUAGUUUAAGUUAAAUUUAAUUAAUUUUUUAAAAAUAAAUGAAAAUAAUUAAUAGGUAAACACUAAUUAAUAAAGCUCUUGAAUUUAAAAUGAUCUGAAGUUGAAUGUGUCUCUGUACAUUCUCACCCUCAAUUUUUAACAACUACAGUUUUUCCACAUUUACUAUAUAUUAUUUUGAUAUAAACGUUUAAAAUAUUUUAUUUUUAUUUAAUUUUAUUAAUAAUAUGCGCCAAUUUUUUUAUCAUCACUAUCGCUAACCAAAUAGUGGUAAAAAAUUAUUCAUUUAGUGGCGAAAGUAGUAUUGCCACUUAAAGUUAACUAAUUGGUGGAAAAAUUUUUCUAUCGCCACUUAAAGUUAAUUAAUUGGUGGCAAAAAUUUUUAUUGCCACUAUAGGUAACUAAAUAAUGGCGAUAAAAUAAUCAUUUAGUGGCGAAAGUAAUAUUGUCACUUUAAGUUAAUUAAUUAGUGGCAAUAUUUUUUAUCGCCACCAUAAAUACUGAUUUAGUGGCAAUAAAAUAAUUAUUUAGUGGCGAAAGUAGUAUUGCCACUUUAAGUUAGUUAAUCGAUGGCCAUUCUUUUUGUCGCCACCGUAAAUAACUAAAUAGUGGCGAUAAAAUAAUCAUUUAGUGGCGAAAGUAGCAUUGCCACUUUUACUUAACUAAUCGGUGGCAAAUUUUUUUUAUCGCCACAAAAAGUAACUAUAUAGUGGCGACAAAAUUUAUCGCCACAUUAUUUUUGCCACCAAUAAUAUAUUCUCUUGUAGUGUAAUAACCGGUAAAUCUAAAUGGAAAAAAAUUUUAGAUUGAUUCUGAUUCUUUUUUACCCCUUUGUUUGAGACAUUUUUAAUUCUUAUCAAUCUUAUGAGCAAGAUGAAUUUUUAACUUGGCCAUAAUUAAUUUCAUUCUAAUUUUGCUCACAAAUUAUCUAAAAAAACAACAAAUUUUGUGGCAAUGAUUGAUGUGUAGCCAACAAAUUAAACUAUAAUUCGUAAGGUGCUAAUAUUGUAUGUCAAAAAAAAAGGAAAAAUAGAAACGUGAUGUAUUUGAAAUAUUUUAUAGGUGAAGGUGCAAAUAUUCAAUUGCCAUUAAUUUUAUGAAGCCAACACAUGAUCUAGUUCAUGGUUCAACGCAUUCUCCCGUACAAAAAGGGCAACUAAUUGUCCUUUAAUUAUUUGGUCUCUUUUAGGUUGACCUAAUUAAUAUAUAUUUUUGUAUUUUAUUUAUGAAAAAUGUUGUUAGGUCACAACAUUUUCUCUUUCCCCCCUUAAAGUGGAAAUGAACGGAGGGUUCGUGUUCGGCUCGAUAACAGUUCGAAUAUAUAUUUAUAUUUAUAUAAUUUAUUUAAUUUAUAUUUAUAUAUAUUUAUAUGUAUAUAUGUAUAUAUAUAUUAUAUUUGAUUUUUAGCCCAAAAAAAAUAUUAAGUCGAGCACAAUUAUAAAAAGACUCAUUUAUAUAUAAAACUUUAACAAUUAGAUCAAAGUCUAAUAGGUAACAUUUUAUAAAUUUAUUUUUCAUAUAUAUCCAAUAUCUAAUCCUUUUAACUUAUUGUUCAUUGGCCAGCUCGUGAGCUAGCUCGUGUUCGGCUCUUUGACACCCUUAAAUAAACACCAGAUAUCACUGAAUAACUCAAUUUUAAGUAAUGAUGAAUCUUUAUUUAUGUUAAUACAGUGAAUAUACCUUUUGUAGGUUAAAAAAAAUGUUUCUUUUGUCCUUAUAAUUCUAGUUUAAUUUGUUCACGAUUAAUGUCAUUAUAUAUUGAACGAUUUGUUUUUUCGUGUAUAAAUAACUAUAAAUGUUUUUCAAAUAAAAAAGAAGUUUAAAACCAAACUAACAAGUUUUAAUACUAGAGCAAAGAUCAUGAUUGAUAAAACCUACCCGAUGUUUUAGGUUCGAAAACUUUUUGUUUUACAUUUUCAAAUAAAUUCAUUUAUAAAAUACAUAUAUUUUUCAAAACAUCUGAAAUAUUUUAUAUAUUUCUAUUUUUUAUUUUCAAACAUAUCUCUCGUACAUUUCUUCGUUAUUCAAAAAUGCUUUCGUUGUUUGUUCCGUUAAGUCAUCUCGAAUUAAAUCCAGUAAAAUUUCUACCAAAAUUUAAAAAAGUCAAAAUACCUCUUUUGCCUUUAACUUAAGUACACAUAAAAUAAAGUUUAUAACUGUAGAAAGAUAUAUUUGAAGAGGCAAAAAAUCAAAAUACGGUUUUUUAUCUCAAACUUAAGAACAAAUAAAAAAAGUUGGUGACAGUAAAAGAAUAUAUUUGAAAAGAUAAAAUAAUAAAUAAACAGAUAUAACGAUUGUUAUAUUUGAAAAAACUCGAAACGUUAAAAAGGAUUUUUUUUUAUUUUUAUUUUUUUUUACAUUAGCCUUUUAAAUAGGGUAAAUAAGAACAUCAGAAAAUUUUCAUGAAUAUAUAAAUAGUAUUCUAACUUUCUUUAAAAGAUGGAAUUUCAGUUCUUGUUUGGACUAAUUAUCUUUCUUGCCAGGUGUUGGUUGAAAACUCGCUCAAAAACAAACUCGUUCGUGUGAAAGAAACAAGAGUUAUGAUUGGUACCUUUGACUAGAACGUUCAACAUUUCACAGGAGCUUUUAUGAAGUACCUUUCUCGAGGAAGUUUCUAGCUUGGUGCAGUCGCUUUUUUUAGGGCUUUUUUUUUGCAAAUAGUUUCCUUGUAAUUUUUUUUUUUAAAUUGGCCAUGUUAAAAAUUUAUUUGUAAAAAUUGCUCUGGCCUCGCCACGCAAGCGCCACGUCAGCACCACGCGGGCGGGACUAGGCCAGAUGGUUAAGUUGAAUACGGUGAACCAUUCACCGUGUUCAAUACAAAAUUUUUGUAUUGGACACGGUGAAUGAUUCACCGUGUCCAAUACAAAAUAGCUAAGAUCGAAAUAUUUGUAUUGGACACGGUGAACCAUUCACCGUGUUCAAUACAAAUAAUUGAACACGGUGAAUGGUUCACCGUGUCUAAUACAAAUACAUCCAAUUUAGUCAUUGUUGGGGUAUUUGUAUUGGACACGGUAAAUGAUUCACCGUGUCUAAUACAAAAAUUUUGUAUUGAACACGGUGAAUAGUUCACCGUGUUCAACUUAAAUACCUGGACCCGCCCUGCCCGCGUGGCGCUGACGUGGCGCUGGCGUGGCAGGAGCAGGGCCAUUUUUGCAAAUAAUUUUUGGACGGGGCUAUUUUUAUAAAUAAAAUUUGUCAGGGGGCUAUUUGCAAAAAAGCCUCUUUUCUUAUCCAUUCAGGGUUGCGGGCGCGACUCGGUAACAAUAACAAUUCGUUGGAUUUAAAUUAUUGACCCAAAAUACUUAAGAGACUAUUGGGGCGUUAGAAACUCAUCAUGGGAUGUUACAAACUCUUCCUUUCCGCGAGGAAGUUUUUACAAACUCUUCUUUUUCGCGAGGAAGUUUCUAGCUUGGUGCAGUCGCUUUUUUUUUUUAUCCAUUCAGGGUUGCGGGUGCGACCCGGUAACAAUAAUAAUUCAUUGGAUUUAAAUCAUUGGCCCAAAAUACUUAAGAGAUUCUUGGGGCGUUAUAAAUUCGUCGUGGGACGUUACAAACUCUUCCUGUUUAGACUCGGCUCCUACGUGUUGAAGAGGUGUGGCUUCUACCAAAUUUAUUGAUAUAACACUUGCGGUUGGUAUUCAGCUCUGAUACCAAUUGUAACGACUUGACGUGCUAGUAACUCAUUGGCCCAAAUCACUGGUUCAAAAUACUUAAAUCUAAUUAUUAUUAUUAACAUAUAGGUCUUAUAUAUUCUAAUAAAAAAAAAAAUUUCAUCUGAUGUGGAACAACUGGUAUGUUACAGAUAAUUUCUCCAGUCUCAGAUCAGAUAGAUCUGGACAACAAACAGACUUUUAAUCACGAGCCAGUUGUAAUUUCUGGAUUUGAAUCACGCACCCACCGAGUUACACGUGUUUGGCGUUGCUACGAACUUCAAAACAGAGAAAGAAAACUUAGGCUUAGUUUGGUAUUAAGAUCUAUCUAACGCUAUUAGAUAAAAUGGAGUUGAGGAAAAAGCAUAUAGGGAUAUGCCUCUGCGUUCUUCAGUGGGACCGUAGAAAAUAUAUCGUAACUGACUCAUCGCGAUAUGCGGAAUGCAAUAUUACGUACGAAAACAAACAGGGUAUUUUUCCAACAUACUUUUUCAACGCACGUAACGCAAUCUCCCCGCAAUCUCAAACGAAGCCUUAAAUGACGAUAUCUCUCUCUCAAAAAAAAAAAGAAAAAGAAAAAAAAGACACUCUGAUACUCAGUACUAACAGUGUUUUUCUCACUUGCUAUAUUCUACACUAUAUAUUUUAAACUUAUAUUUAUUUUUUAGAUAUCAUUGAGCUAUUUUUUUUUUUUUUAUUCUUGUCAAUUUCUAUAUUACUAUUAACAAAUUAAUUUGUAAUUUUAGACAAAAUUUAACAGCUUUAUUAAAAGACACUAAUUAAAUUGCAAAAAAAUAUAAAAUAAAUCUCUAUGAUUGAUGUGAGACCCCAGAUAGUCCUAUAUAUAAAAUAUAAUAGGGCUAAACUCUUAACCCGGCUUAAGCAUUUUGGGUGGUGGCAAGGCCCAAGAGGUUAAGAGAGUUAAGCGUGCUAGGACGGGAGUAGUCCUAGGAUGGGUGACCCCCUGGGAAGUCGGGGCGUUACAAUUGACUCCUUAGAAGCUUCUAUCAAGUUAGUUUUAUACAAUUUGUUAUUUUAUGUUAGAAAUAGAGUUAAUAUAUGCUCUAACACUUUUAAUGAGUAAUUUUUAACGAUUUUUAUAUAAACUUAUAAGUUUAUUUUUUAUGGUGUAAGGAUUGAAAAAAAGAAAAGAAAAAAGAAUUACUGACUGCUGUGUUCGAAGGUGAAAUCUUUUUUUGUAAAAGUAGGAUAUAGUAGCUCCAAAAAACCAAUUAAAACAAUAAUAAUAAUAAGGGUAAACUUCAAAUAUUACUUGUGGAUUUUGCAUUUUUUUAUUUUAGCACCUUAUAGUUUAAACUGUAUCACUUAAUACUCUGUGAUUUUUUUUUUUCCUUUCUGCAAGCAUCUUUAUUAACUCUCUGUUAAAUCAUAUACAAAAAACUUCAGACACCCCAUCUAUAAUUUAUAGAAUAUUCACUUUAAGGGCUUGUUUGGUUCAAGGGUGGAAUUGGAAUGGAUAAUGGAAUGGGAAUGAAUUGGAAUGGUAAUUGGAAUGGCCUACUCUCUCAAGACGUUUGGUUUAUUUGUAGAUUGGGAAUUGGAAUGAGUUAUUCACAUUUCAUUGUUUGGUUCGUAUAAAUUAAAAAAAUUAUAGGAUACUAUAAUACUAAUUUUACUCCCAAAUAUAAAUUUAUAUUAUUUAAAAUUUAUGAAAAAUAUAAUACUAUUCUCUAAUAAGUUUUCCAAAAAAAAUAUCAAAUUUAUUUUUAAAAUUUUUUAUUGAUGUGGGUUAGGGAUAGGGUUUUGAGAGAGGAUAGGUUUUUUUUUUUUUUUGAUGAGAAAGGGGUGAAGAGAAGGAAGGUGAGAUAGUCACAUGGGCUUCGAGAACUUAGUGGGCUUCCGGAAUGAAAUCUCAAUCCGGGCUAGAAGACCGGAAUCAAGUUGAAGACUAAUGGGUCAUUCCCAUUCCAGUCCGGAAUAGGAAUCCCAAACCGAUUCAUGCGAACCAAACAAAAUUAAGUGGAUUUGAUCAAACCGAUUCUCAUUCCAUACCCAAAAUAGAUGAACCAAAUAAGCCCUAAUAUUCUGUGGUUUAUCAAAAUUUUUACUUUAAUACUCUAUUGUUUUAACUUUAUCAUUAAUUUAACGAAAAAAUCAACGAAAAGGGUAACGGAAAGAGGAAAAUAAAACCACACGAUGGUAUUAAAAGUUUUCAAUAAUAAUAAUAAUAAUAAUAAUAAACUCUGCUGAUAGUACUAAGUAUUUUGUGAUAUCGAGUUUUCGGCUGUUGGAUAAAAGGUGGUUAGGAUAAUAGUGGUCCCCUAGGGUUAAGUGGGUAGUUAGUUGAAUAGUAUAAUCUAACGGAUGAAAAUGAUCGAAGGAUAGAUCUAACGGCAGAAAACUCGAUAGUAUAAAUAAUUUGAUACUAUCAAUAGUAUAGUAGCCGGAUUCACAAUAAUAAUAAUAAUAAAUUCAUUUAUAUCUUUUAGUAGUGAGCGGCGUGAUACGAGGGUGGAAACGUGACGUCAGCAGCCGCGUUGGAGUGGUUAUUGACCGGUCCAAAAUGGGGCCCACUGCGAACAAUGACGUGUGAACGCGAGAUCGGACCGGAUCGGAUCGGAUCGGAUCGUGGAAAGAGAUGAACCGACAAUGUCGUUUCAAGUCAUUGAAAGAAAAGAAAACAAAAAGAAUGAAGGAAUGAAGGAAAGAAGGAGAAAAAAAGGAAGUGUCUGCAUCCUUAUCUCUAAUUGAGUAAAGAAUUAUUCUGGGAUGAUGAUUGAAGAUUAUUAAACCCUCCCCAACAAUGCGUAGAGCAUAAAAAAGAAGCUAGGGUUGAAGAAGAAUCUCCUCUUCUUUGGGCAUCAAGAGGGGUAUUGUAAUUUUAUUACUCUCUAAGAUUUGAUGAGUUUGGAGCUGUCGCUCGCGCCGCGCGUUAUUCUUGCAGCAGAUGAACGUAACACGAGGUGAUCUGUCAAGGGUUGCGGACUCUAAGAAUAUUUGUUGAUUUAAAUGAGGCCAGAUUGGGCCGAGUCACGUUCAAAAUAGCGAGAGGUUGGCUUGGGCUGAGCCAUAUUCGAAGUUUGUGUAAGGUUGGUUGAGCCGAAUUACAAUCGAUCAAAACCUGUGGACGCUGUCUUUGGACGCCUUUAAGUAAAUUUGUUACGUAUUUUUAACAGCUUAAAAUUCCCGCAUGCAACGCAGAUACUAGGAGGGCCUUAAAGGGGCAAGCAUUCUGCCCUAUGAUAGGGGGACAAGUUGGGCCAAGUUAUAUUCAAAGUGACGUGAAGUUUAACAUCCGAAGUGGCGUGAAGGCUAUAUUGGAGCUUUGUUUGCUGAAAAGUGAGUAACGCUUCAAUCGCUGCUAAGAAUAGUUGGUUGUUAUUCAGAAGAAUUGUCAUAAAAAUUCGGUAAUUGAAUCCCGCUAGAAAAAGGAAAAAAAAAAGAGGUUUCGCCCUAGGCUUCUCUUUGGUCUCCAACAUAUCUACCUAUGUGGCUUGGACUUGACUAAACCCAAAUACUGAGUAUAAAACAUAAAUAAAUCCUACUUGGCCCUAUUAAAUAAAAGAGAUAUACCAAGCAAAAUAUUCAUACAUCCAAACAGACUGAACGAACUCACUAAUUUGUUUCAACUUAUUUUUCAUUACAAUGCGACCAUGUAGAACAUCUUAACUCAAAUAUUUCACUCCUAAGCCCAAAUUAUGUGACAUCAACAUCAACAAUUAAUUUGGCUUGAGCCACUCGAAUCCUUAGAUGACAAUGGCCACAUUUGACCCAAAGCUUUUGCUAAACCCCUCGAGUCCAAUCCAAAUGAAAAGCCCACACCAAAAACUCAAUCAGGGUUUACUUUGUUAAGCUCAUUAGCAUCUGUGUACUUUAACAAAGAUCUUGUGAUGCCUCGGAUUUUUCAAUUUGAGCUCGCACAAUCUGGCCCGGACAAGAACAACAUUGGACUGGGUUCGAUCAAGUUGGGCCAAAUUAGCUCAACAAAUACCGGGCCGGACCUGGCCACAACGUUAGGUUAUGUCUGACAUUUGAUGUCCUUUCAUAUCUUUUUCAGCUUUUGGGCCUUAAAAGAAGCUCCUAAAUUUUAAUUUGUCGAGUACUUUAUUUUAACUAAUUGCUGUUAAGGGCCUGCUUGUUUUAACGAAAAUGAAGCAUAGAUUGAAGUAGCUUUCGAAUAAACAUUAUUUAUUUCCUGCUGGUUAUUUUUAUAGCAGUAAGACUGAAAUUUUCUCGAUUUUGCCAUUUGUUUAGUAUGAAGUAAAUGACGUAAAAUCUAGAGUUUUCUAUAGUUAAUACUUAUCUCUAUUUCUCACGUUUUGUCUUGUAAUCGAGUGCUGUCCAACAGUCCAAGGUAGGUCGAACUCACUUACGGUAGUUUAAGAAAAUUAAGUUUCGAUUGAAGGUAAAAUUACGAUAAUGCCUGGACGUCACAGACACUGAUCUGGAACACGGGAUGCAACACGAUUUAGACACGGCAACUCGGUAGCUUUCAAAAAAUUAGGACACGAACCCGACAUAAAUACCGCUAAUAAAAUAUAAUAUUAUUAAUAUAAUAAUCUAUAUUUAUUAUAUAUAAAAAAUAUUAAUUUUGAUAAAAUAUUAUUAUAUUUCUCGUACUAAUAAAAGUUAGUAAAAUUUUCAUUAAUAGUUUAUAUAUUUUUUUAAAAAAAUCCUCCACAUACAUAAUUCAUUUUAUAUUGUCAAAAAAAUUUAUACGCAUUUAUCAAAAAGUUAAAAAUAUUUAUCGUCUUACAUUAUAUGUGCAUAAAAAAAUAAAAUAAAAAAUAUAUAUUUUAAAAAAUGCUCACAUUAACAUCGGACACGUAUCCGACAUGAACAUCUGAGGCUUAUAAACGUGUUCGUGAUACAUAGGACGGAGUAAAUAGUAAAAAUAAAUAUUUCCACAGGGAUCGAAUUCACGACGUCACAAAACAACAGAAAUUUCAAUAAAGGGAUCUGAAAUAUAUUGAGUUUAAUAAAUAAUUUGUGAUACAUUUACAACCUCUGUAUUAUUCAUUGAAUUAAAGUGACACAUACAGGAUGAGAACGAUUGGUGACGUUGCAUGGGCUAAUCUAAGCCACACGUACGAACCAGGAGUUGGGUUUUAGCACGAGUGAUCGAUGUGGUCAAUUUUUGCUAGUUACUGUCACGGUGGUAGGUGGAUUAUAAUUCCAUUAUUAUUAUUAUUAUAUAUGUUUUAAUUAAAACCAAUUUUCUCCAAUUAAAUAUUAACAUAUAAUUUUCAAAUAAUAAGAAAAAAAUAAAAUUAUAAAUAGAUAUGUGGGUUAGGUAGCUGAUGCUGAGUGCAUCAUGAUUCGCCACGUGGCCCGCUGGUUAUGGCCAGGAGAGGGUCUAUUAUAUCAACUUGUUUGAGCAAAUUCUUGUGAUAUUGACUGAGGUGGGGCUUGCCAUGUUCUCGAAAGUACGGAGUUUUUCAUAUUUUUAAAUUAUCUUCGAUGUUUAGACUUUCGAAUUAACGAUUAGUUUCGUUAGAUUUAAUUUAGUAUAUUUGAAGUCUUUAGAAAAAAAUAUUUUGCGAUUUUUUGAUAUUAUUUGUCUGGCGAUCGAAGGAGCACAAAAUCAAUAGUUUUAAUGAUCGUGGUGAGUCGUUUGCAAGUUUAACGGUGUAGAAAUAUUCAAAUUACGUAAAAUUUUAAUCGAAAAUUCUUUAUACUAUAUAAAACAAUAUCAAUAUUUUCGAUCUAAAAUUUUUAUUUUCAGUCAUUCAUUUUGAGCCCCUUCGAUCACUAAACAAAUGAUAUCGAAAAAUCGUAAAAUUUAUUUUCUAGAUACUUCAAAUACUCUAAAUCAAAUCCAACGGAACCGAUCGUCGAUUCGAAAGUCCCAACAUAAAAGACAAUUUGGAAGCACGAAAGGCUCCGUACUUCCAGAAGCAUAUCAGCCUCACUCAUAUUGACUGUAUAAUAUUUAAUAUAGUAAAAUGCUAUAUAAUAACCAUUGCUAGUUAUCUCAUUUCAAAUUUUGAGAAAAAAAUUUGCUCAGUUAAAUAUCAAAUUUUGAUAUAUAAUUUUUUUACUUUUUUUUUAACUUUGUGUGGUUACAUUGUCCUGUCCAAUGCCAACACGUACUCCAAGUCUCCAACCACCAUAAGAUUUGUACCGUAUUUCGAUUAGGAUAAUCUCUUCAUAAUUUCUGAGGAUGAAAUUCAAAGUUUUAAACAAUCUAAUGAAAUUGGAAAUAUGCUUGUAGUACAUUAUUUUCUACUUAAAGUCAUUAAAAUUUAAUAUUUUCUACUAGAAUAUUUUCGAAGUAAACGGAGAUCGAAGUUUAUUUUCAAAUUGACGAUCCAUAUCGUUAAACAGUUAUCUAGACUGUUUGAACUUCUUAAGUUUUAAAAUUUACAAUUUUAAAAUAUCAUUUGCCUGAAGUUCAAGUGGCCUCAAAUUCAUUUUAUAUUAGCCAGUAAAAAUUACUAAUUUUGAGACCACUUAAAUAUUACACAAAUAAUGUCAUAAAAUCAUAAAAAUUAAAAUAUAAAAAAUGUUUAAAUAGUCUAGAUCAAACUUAACUCUUCCGUUUACUUUCAGAAAUAAUCCAACCAGACUCAACUCAACUGAUUAGUAUCUUUAAUGCAGAACUAUAUACAACUAGCCAGUAUGAUUAUAUGAGCUAACUAAAAGUUUUCGAUUCGAAUCAUACUUUUUUUCAGAAUCACAAGUGCCAUGGGUUUUAGGUUCCUAAAAUUUUUGCUUUUUUAUUAUUGAUUUGGUGAAGAAAAAUAGCCCCCCACAUGGACCACCUAGAUUUAUCAAGCUACUUAAUCUUAGGCAUGUGCGGCAUGUUAAGUGUACCUCUAAGGUAUUAAUCAUAUAUUAUUAUAAGGUGGGGGUUCCAAUCAUGGUAGAGGUUGGUAGUUUUAAGUGAUUGACUAGAACUCAAAGACCCCCAAGAUUUAGGGGAUCACCAACAACAUUGUAGAUCACCCAAAGUCAAAAGAUUACCUAAACCACAUCCAAAUUUGAAACAACAACUACACACACAAAAUAAAAAAAAGGUCUAGACAAAAUAACUUGAAUAGUNNNNNNNNNNNNNNNNNNNNNNNNNCUGUUUCCCAAAAAAAAAAAAAAAAAAAAAAAAAAAAAAAAAGCUAAUAAACAAAACCCCAAAAAAAUUUAAGAAAAAAGUUUUUUUUUUUUUUUUUACUUCCCUCUUUUCAUCUAUGGUGAAGCAUCACAUCAAUGAGGUGGGAAGCUUACCAAUUACGAAUUCUUACCAUAUUCUUUUCCGUACCCGAAGGGAAACAGAGGAGGUGAAGGAUUGCGGCGCAGUGAUGUUGAGGUUUCAGGCAAGGAUUUAAGUGCUGUGACGCGAGGUCGUGCCGAAAAUUUACCGACACGGUAUGAUAUGGUGCGUGCCAAAUCGUGUCGAUACGUGUCGAUCAAAAAAAUUUUUGUGUAUCAACACAUAAUAGCAUGAAAUAUUUAUUUUUUUUAGCAACGAAAUAUUCUAACUAUUUAUUAUGUCUUUUUAUCAUAUCUUUUAAAUUUUAUUGAAAAAAUUACUAACUAAUUUAAAGAAUAGAAGGUUUUGAACUUUGCUAUUGGCACGGGGUCUGUAUCGUGCCGAUAUUUUAUUGGCACAAUACGGCACGGUGGAUACAGUCCGUGCCGACGGACAUUUAAAACCUUAGUUUCAAACUUUUAUGACAAGACAAGAUAAGAUGCUUCUAGGGCUUCAUAUUUUCACACUUUUUGUUUUUAGGGUUUGGAUUGGAGGAAUCUGUUAUCUGUGGGACCACACAAAGUGGUUCAUGGCAGGGUUUGAUUUUCUGUUUGAAAAUUUUGACUGAUUUGAGUCAGUCUCCUGCCGAAUAUAAGUUCUAAUUUGGUUCUAUUUGAUCUGACUCUGUGUUGGCCAAGACUAAAUCAGAUAAUAACAAAAUCUAGUUGUUUCAAAUUUCUGUCUGAAUAUUUUUUUUCAAAAAAAAUAAAGCAUAUAGCGUAAUACUUUUCUCUCUCUUCAGAAAGUAAAUGCCAUUCAAUUUGGUACUCAAACGGCUCUAAAUUCAUCUACACAUUCGAAAUCAGAGAAACAUAAGAUCACAAGAAAAUAAUUUAAAAUCCGAGCAUGUAUUUUGGGAUUAAGUAACAGGCUCGUGCUAAUAAUAUUUGCAAAAUUUAGAAAAAUUCGAGAAAAUAUUACUUAUUAAAAUUGACAAAAUUGUUCAUAUAACUUAACAUUUCAAGUUUGAAAAGUAAUAUACUUUUAUCCUUUUCUAUUAAAAGUAUUAUAUGUGGAAUUUUCUUUAAUUUGACUGCUGUUAGUUGAUCAAUAAAUUUUAGCAAUCUUCUACCUUGUAAUUCCAUGAAAUUAUCAAUUAUAAAUUUAUUUUACAUAAAAUUAAACUUUAAUCUUCUUUAAUAAAACUCAUGUUCCCAGUGAUAUUUGGUUCCACGUAAAACUGUUUAUAAUAAUUUUUAGAAGAUACAUAUAUUUUUUUAUGUAUACUGAUAUUUAAUUUGCGUAUAAUAAAACCAAUAUAUCUUAUGAGAGGAAGUUUCCACUUUUCCAUUUUUCAUUUUUCACAAAAAAAAAUCUAGCAAUAAAUGCAAAUAUUUUUUUAAAAUAUAUAAAUUUAAGUUUUGAUAAAGAAUUAAAUUAUUUAUAUAAAAUCCAAUGAUUACUUUGGAAAAUUCCUUUUUUGGCCCACAAAUUAUUUUGGGAUGUGAACCCCAAACACUGCAUACUAUUGAGCACUCCAACAAGUGUCAGUGCAACAUAAAAGCACUGAGGUAAAUAAAUGCGCACACUUGGUGUACAAGUAAAUCUCAUACACCGCACUCCUAAGACUAUUGUGAAAGGCUCAAAAUAAAAAAUCAAACUUAUUGGACAUGUUUCAACACACUCAAAAAAAAAUUAUAUACAUACAUAUUAAAAAUCAUUACUUUUGUCACCGACUUUUUUUAAAAAAUAAAUCAAAUAAUGAAACCCUAGAAUCUAAACUCUAAAUCUUUUCUACUAUCAAUUUUCUGAACAAAUCUUUUCUACUAUCAAUUUUCUGAACAAACUAUUAGAUGCCUAGAUAAUAGUUUUUCAAAAUAGACCGUUCUUCAUGCUUAGGAUCUUUCAAUAGUAUUAAUCAUGAUUAUUAGGUUAGAUUUUAUUUUAUUAUUAUUUUUUUAUGAUAGCAAACUCAUACGAAGAAACUCUUUAUUUAUUAAGAUCGUGUACAUAUAUUUAACCAGAAAUCCAAGCUCUAAGUCCCAAGUUACGUACCCAUAUAUGUAGACUGAAAAUUCCAUACGCAAGAUACGCUAGCUAACGAGCAUCUUAUCACUAGAUUACUACCUAUCUGUUUGACUGCACGUGCAAAUAAAUACAGACUUAAAUUCCGUAUUUGAAGUAGUGCGUUUAAUUAAUUCAAUUACUGCCGUUAGAAUUGCAUUAGGAAAGCCAAAAUGUCGCAAUUGGAACUAUACCUAACCUGGCUACAACUCCAUCUGCAGCGGCUGCAGUUGGCAAGGGAUCGGAUCAGCUGCUAAGAGCAAUGCAUGAAAUUUAUAUGUAUAUACAUUGUUAAGGGAGCAUACAUAUAUAUAUAGUCCGAUUAUGGCGCUUUUAAUUUUUUAUCCUUUGGAUUAAUUUUUUUGACAAUAUUUAUCCAUUAGAUUAAUAUUAUUUUUCUAAAAGAACUACUAAAUUCUAGAGGGGCCACUAUCAUUGCAGAUCUAUAAUUCUUAAUCCAACGGUCAAAAAAUUAAAAGUACCAACUCCUUUGUACUUUCGAAAGCAUAGUAUCUCUCUCUCUAUAUGUAUAUAUAUAUAUAUAUAUAUAUAUGUACAACACCCACGGUGCACCAGGUGCACGCAGCAAUUGGAGCAGUCCACGUAGCAGCAGCAGCAGCACCUGCUCACGCAGUACACGCUCCCGACAUCUCCACGUAUAUAUAGAAAAGAGGAGAGGAGAGAAGAGGAGAGCAUCCUCGGUCCCCGAAUUCAUCUCCUCUUCCUCAUCUCUCUCCUCUCCAACUCCCAAAACCCUUCUCUGCAUUGCGGUUUUGUUCACUCUCUCUCUCUCUCUCUCUCUCGCUCGCGUAGGGUUUUUCUUCUUUCCGCCGAUCGCGCGCGUCUCCUUCGCCCCGCCAUUGACGCCGAUGGAGAAGGAGGUGGCGGAGACGUUCGAGGCCGCGAAGAAGGCUGCGGACGCGGCGGCGGCGGCGGCGGAGGGCGGAGGAUCGCCGGAGGCCGAUCGGUGCGUCGGCGCGCUGAGGCGGCUGCGGAAGAUGACGGUCACCACCGACAUUCUCGUCACCACCCAGGUUUUUUUUUAAAAAAAAAAAACUUUUUUUUCUUUCUUUCUUUCUCAUCCUUUUUUUCUUAUUCACAACAAGUUCGAAUUUUGGUAUGUGUAAGUUCUAUAUUUAGGGGUUUUUUUUUUUUGGAUGGUUAAAAAAGGAUUUUUUUUUUUUUUAAAUGGUGUUGGAAUUUUAAGGUUAAGGUUUUUUAUUAGGUUUUAGUGCAUGUUGGAUAUGAGUUGAUGUUUCCCAUAAGGAGGGUGAAAAAGGAUUUUUUGUUUGGGUUUUUACGUAAUGUGGAAGGUGUUGUUCUAUAACUAAUAGAGUGGAUUAAAAAAAAGGAAACUUUUUUAUGGUGUUUGGGGAUGGAGAGAGGCCUUUAGGUGAAUUUUUGGGAUGAUGAGUGUGUAAUUUUAUGGUAAGAUGUUUCGA